UACGGGGGGAGCAAGCGUUGUUCGGAUUUACUGGGCGUAAAGGGCGCGUAGGCGGCGUGACAAGUCACUUGUGAAAUCUCCGGGCUUAACUCGGAACGGUGAAGUGAUACUGUCGUGCUAGAGUACAGAAGGGGCAACUGGAAUUCUCGGUGUAGCGGUGAAAUGCGUAGAUAUCGAGAGGAACACCUGCGGCGAAGGCGGGUUGCUGGGCUGAUACUGACGCUGAGGCGCGAAAGCUAGGGGAGCGAACGGG
RNAcentral lists this ribosomal RNA (253 nucleotides) under uncultured bacterium. RNAcentral describes it as "partial 16S ribosomal RNA". It matches the Rfam family "Bacterial small subunit ribosomal RNA", at positions 524 to 776 of the family's 1533-position model. The record is from RNAcentral.